This 609-nucleotide ribosomal RNA is filed under the name uncultured bacterium. RNAcentral describes it as "bacterial SSU rRNA". It matches the Rfam family "Bacterial small subunit ribosomal RNA", at positions 10 to 645 of the family's 1533-position model. The record is from RNAcentral.
AGUUUGAUCCUGGCUCAGCCUGAACGCUGGCGGCGUGGCUAAGACAUGCAAGUCGUACGGGGUGGAGCAAUCCACCCAGUGGCGGACGGGUGAGUAAUGGAUCGCUAACGUGCCCUCCAGUCCGGGACAGCCGGCCGAAAGGCCGGGUAAUACCGGGUGACAUGGCCCCGCGGCAUCGCGGGGCCCUCAAAGGGAAACCGCUGGAGGAGCGGGCGAUUUCGUAUCAGCUAGUUGGCGGGGUAACGGCCCACCAAGGCGACGACGCGUAGCUGGUCUGAGAGGACGGCCAGCCACAUCGGGACUGAGACACUGCCCGGACUCCUACGGGGGGCUGCAGUAACGAAUCUUCCGCAAUGCGCGCAAGCGUGACGGAGCGACGCCGCGUGGAGGUUAAGUCCUUCGGGAUGUAAACUCCUGUCAGGGGUUACCAAGUUCUGAGGAGCCCCAGAGGAAGGCACGGCUAACUCUGUGCCAGCAGCCGCGGUAAUACAGAGGUGCCAAGCGUUAGGCGGAAUCACUGGGCUUAAAGCGCGUGUAGGCGGGCCGUUAAGUGUCUCGUGAAAUCCCACGGCUCAACCGUGGAACUGCCGGGCAUACUGACGGUCUUGA